UACGUAGGGUGCAAGCGUUAAUCGGAAUUACUGGGCGUAAAGCGUGCGCAGGCGGUUUUGUAAGUCUGUCGUGAAAUCCCCGGGCUCAACCUGGGAAUUGCAUUGGAGACUGCAAGGCUAGAAUCUGGCAGAGGGGGGUAGAAUUCCACGUGUAGCAGUGAAAUGCGUAGAGAUGUGGAGGAACACCGAUGGCGAAGGCAGCCCCCUGGGUCAAGAUUGACGCUCAUGCACGAAAGCGUGGGGAGCGAACCGG
Molecule: ribosomal RNA, 253 nt
Filed under: uncultured bacterium
Lineage: Bacteria
Description: partial 16S ribosomal RNA
Rfam family: Bacterial small subunit ribosomal RNA
Source: RNAcentral